RNAcentral lists this ribosomal RNA (153 nucleotides) under uncultured bacterium. RNAcentral describes it as "partial 16S ribosomal RNA". The record is from RNAcentral.
CACGUAGUUAGCCGAGGCUUAUUCAGAGAGUACUGUCUUAGACGGGUUACCCCGCCGUAUCAUCCUCUCUAAAAGAGGUUUACACCCCAAAGGGCUUCGUCCCUCACGCGGCGUCGCUCCAUCAGGCUUUCGCCCAUUGUGGAAUAUUCCUCA